CAUCCGUCCCACUAUUUUUCAUGCCCAAUAUUAACCGUCCAUCUUAUUUAUUUUUUUAAAAAAAUUAAAAAUAUAAGUCACGCAUAAAGUACUAUUCAUAUUUUAUCAUCUUAUAACAAUAAAAAUACUAAUUUAAAAAGAAUUUAAAUAAAAUGGACGAUCGAAGUUGUACACGAAAACUUAUGGUUACACUUGGA
Oryza sativa Indica Group (long-grained rice) is the source of this 197-nucleotide microRNA precursor. It matches the Rfam family "MIR812 microRNA precursor family". The record is from Rfam. Lineage: Eukaryota; Viridiplantae; Streptophyta; Magnoliopsida; Poales; Poaceae.